Molecule: transfer RNA, 87 nt
Filed under: Candidatus Palauibacterales bacterium
Lineage: Bacteria; Pseudomonadati; Gemmatimonadota; Gemmatimonadia; Candidatus Palauibacterales
Also listed under: 1 other name
Description: tRNA-Ser
Rfam family: tRNA
About the family: Transfer RNA (tRNA) molecules are approximately 80 nucleotides in length. Their secondary structure includes four short double-helical elements and three loops (D, anti-codon, and T loops).
Source: RNAcentral
GGAGGGGUGGCCGAACUGGACUAAGGCAGCGGCCUUGAAAGCCGCCGGGGCGGAAGCCCUUUGUGGGUUCGAAUCCCACCCCCUCCG